RNAcentral lists this ribosomal RNA (417 nucleotides) under uncultured bacterium. RNAcentral's name for it is "bacterial SSU rRNA". It matches the Rfam family "Bacterial small subunit ribosomal RNA", at positions 28 to 432 of the family's 1533-position model. The record is from RNAcentral.
GACGAACGCUGGCGGCGUGCCUAAUACAUGCAAGUCGAGCGAAGUUUUUCUGGUGCUUGCACUAGAAAAACUUAGCGGCGAACGGGUGAGUAACACGUAAAGAACCUGCCUUAUAGACUGGGACAACUAUUGGAAACGAUAGCUAAUACCGGAUAACAGCAUUAACUGCAUGGUUGAUGUUUAAAAGUUGGUUUUGCUAACACUAUGAGAUGGCUUUGCGGUGCAUUAGCUAGUUGGUGGGGUAAAGGCCUACCAAGGCGACGAUGCAUAGCCGACCUGAGAGGGUGAUCGGCCACACUGGGACUGAGACACGGCCCAGACUCCUACGGGAGGCAGCAGUAGGGAAUCUUCCGCAAUGGGCGAAAGCCUGACGGAGCAACGCCGCGUGAGUGAAGAAGGAUUUCGGUUCGUNAAGCU